This 31-nucleotide non-coding RNA is filed under the name Rattus norvegicus (Norway rat). Lineage: Eukaryota; Metazoa; Chordata; Mammalia; Rodentia; Muridae. The record is from RNAcentral.
UAACCGUGUGUUAAUGGAAUUCUGUCAACCC